AGCGUAGGUGGCUCUAUAAGUCAGAUGUGAAAUCCCCGGGCUCAACCUGGGAACUGCAUCUGAAACUGUAGAGCUAGAGUAUGUGAGAGGAAGGUAGAAUUCCAGGUGUAGCGGUGAAAUGCGUAGAGAUCUGGAGGAAUACCGAUGGCGAAGGCAGCCUUCUGGCAUAAUACUGACACUGAGGCUCGAAAGCGUGGGUAGCAAACA
This 207-nucleotide ribosomal RNA is filed under the name uncultured bacterium. RNAcentral describes it as "partial 16S ribosomal RNA". It matches the Rfam family "Bacterial small subunit ribosomal RNA", at positions 568 to 774 of the family's 1533-position model. The record is from RNAcentral.